AGAGGUGCCCUCGGUGAUAGAGGAAACAUGGCCGAGUAUACGCGGCUGCACAACGCCUUGGCGCUGAUCCGCCUCCGAAACCCGCCGGUCAACGCGAUCAGUACGACUUUACUCCGUGACAUAAAAGAAGGACUACAGAAAGCUGUAAUAGACCAUACAAUAAAAGCCAUUGUGAUUUGUGGAGCAGAGGGCAAAUUUUCUGCAGGUGCUGAUAUUCGUGGCUUCAGUGCUCCUAGGACAUUUGGCCUUACACUGGGACAUGUAGUAGAUGAAAUACAGAGAAAUGAGAAGCCCGUGGUGGCAGCAAUCCAAGGCAUGGCUUUCGGAGGGGGACUAGAGCUGGCCCUGGGCUGUCACUAUAGGAUUGCCCACGCAGAGGCUCAAGUUGGCUUACCAGAAGUUACACUGGGACUUCUCCCUGGUGCAAGAGGAACCCAGCUUCUCCCCAGACUCACUGGAGUUCCUGCUUCACUUGACUUAAUUACCUCAGCUUUCAAAGUGAGAUGACUCUCAGAUUCAUUGAAGACGUAUUUUAGCAGAUGAAGCACUCAAGCUGGGCAUUCUAGAU
RNAcentral lists this small RNA (568 nucleotides) under Pan troglodytes (chimpanzee). RNAcentral's name for it is "processed transcript". Lineage: Eukaryota; Metazoa; Chordata; Mammalia; Primates; Hominidae. The record is from RNAcentral.